GAUGAACGCUGGCGGCGUGCCUAAUACAUGCAAGUCGAGCGAACAGACGAGGAGCUUGCUCCUCUGGCGUUAGCGGCGGACGGGUGAGUAACACGUGGAUAACCUACCUAUAAGACUGGGAUAACUUCGGGAAACCGGAGCUAAUCCCGGAUAAUAUAUUGAACCGCAUGGUUCAAUAGUGAAAGACGGUUUUGCUGUCACUUAUAGAUGGUUCCGCGCCGCAUUAGCUAGUUGGUAAGGUAACGGCUUACCAAGGCAACGAUGCGUAGCCGACCUGAGAGGGUGAUCGGCCACACUGGAACUGAGACACGGUCCAGACUCCUACGGGAGGCAGCAGUAGGGAAUCUUCCGCAAUGGGCGAAAGCCUGACGGAGCAACGCCGCGUGAGUGAUGAAGGUCUUCGGAUCGUAAAACUCUGUUAUUAGGGAAGAACAAAUGUGUAAGUAACUAUGCACGUCUUGACGGUACCUAAUCAGAAAGCCACGGCUAACUACGUG
RNAcentral lists this ribosomal RNA (497 nucleotides) under uncultured bacterium. RNAcentral describes it as "partial 16S ribosomal RNA". It matches the Rfam family "Bacterial small subunit ribosomal RNA", at positions 28 to 507 of the family's 1533-position model. The record is from RNAcentral.